GUUAUAUGGUCAAGUGACUAAGCGCAUACGGUGGAUGCCUUGGCAGUCAGAGGCGAUGAAGGACGUUGUAGCCUGCGAAAAGCUUCGGGGAGUCGGCAAACAGACUUUGAUCCGGAGAUGUCCGAAUGGGGAAACCCACCUGGUGUAAGCCAGGUACCUUGCACUGAAUACAUAGGUGUAAGGAGCGAACGAGGGGAACUGAAACAUCUAAGUACCCUUAGGAAAAGAAAUCAAUUGAGAUUCCCCCAGUAGCGGCGAGCGACCGGGGAACAGCCUGCAAGUGAUAGCGUGGAAGUUAGUGGAACGGUCUGGAAAGUCCGGCGAUAGAGGGUGAUAGCCCCGUACACGAAAGCUUCUAUGUGGUACUAAGCUUGCGACAAGUAGGUCGGGACACGAGUUAUCUUGACUGAACAUGGGGGGACCAUCCUCCAAGGCUAAAUACUACUGACUGACCGAUAGUGAACCAGUACCGUGAGGGAAAGGCGAAAAGAACCCCGGAGAGGGGAGUGAAAUAGAACCUGAAACCGUAUGCGUACAAGCAGUGGGAGCACCUUCGUGGUGUGACUGCGUACCUUUUGUAUAAUGGGUCAGCGACUUAUUGUCUGUAGCAAGCUUAACCGUAUAGGGGAGGCGUAGGGAAACCGAGUCUUAAUAGGGCGACAUAGUUGCAGGCAAUAGACCCGAAACCGGGCGAUCUAUCCAUGGCCAGGGUGAAGGUUAGGUAACACUGACUGGAGGCCCGAACCCACUUAUGUUGAAAAAUGAGGGGAUGAGCUGUGGAUCGGAGUGAAAGGCUAAUCAAGCCCGGAGAUAGCUGGUUCUCCUCGAAAUCUAUUUAGGUAGAGCGUCAUGUCUUACCCGCGGGGGUAGAGCACUGUUUCGGCUAGGGGGUCAUCCCGACUUACCAACCCGAUGCAAACUCCGAAUACCGCGGAGUACAAUCAUGGCAGACAGACUGCGGGUGCUAACGUCCGUUGUCGAGAGGGCAACAACCCAGACCGCCAGCUAAGGUCCCAAAUACCAGUUAAGUGGGAAACGAUGUGGGAAGGCUUAGACAGCUAGGAGGUUGGCUUAGAAGCAGCCAUCCUUUAAAGAAAGCGUAAUAGCUCACUAGUCGAGUCGGCCUGCGCGGAAGAUUUAACGGGGCUAAACUGGUAACCGAAGCUGCGGAUGCAUGCUUGCAUGCAUGGUAGAGGAGCGUUCUGUAAGCCGUUGAAGGUAAACCGGGAGGUUUGCUGGAGGUAUCAGAAGUGCGAAUGCUGACAUGAGUAACGAUAAGGGGGGUGAAAAACCUCCCCGCCGGAAGAUCAAGGUUUCCUGCGCAACGCUAAUCGGCGCAGGGUGAGUCGGCCCCUAAGGCGAGGCAGAAAUGCGUAGUCGAUGGGAAGCAGGUUAAUAUUCCUGCACUUUUUAUUAUUGCGAUGGAGGGACGGAGAAGGCUAAACCAUCAGGGCGUUGGUUGUCCCUGUUUAAGGUUGUAGGCUGGCUGCUUAGGUAAAUCCGGGCGGCUAAGGCCGAGAACUGAUGACGAGCUCAAUGCGAGAGCAGCGAGUGAAGUGGUUGAUGCCAUGCUUCCAAGAAAAGCUUCUAAGCUUCAGAUAAUAAGGAACCGUACUGUAAACCGACACAGGUGAUCAGGUAGAGAAUACCAAGGCGCUUGAGAGAACUCGGGUGAAGGAACUAGGCAAAAUGGUACCGUAACUUCGGGAGAAGGUACGCCGGCUUUGGUGAUGGGACUUGCUCCCUAAGCUGAGGCUGGUCGAAGUGACCAGGUGGCUGCGACUGUUUAUUAAAAACAUAGCACUCUGCAAACACGUAAGUGGACGUAUAGGGUGUGACGCCUGCCCGGUGCCGGAAGGUUAAUUGAUGGGGUUAUCUUCGGAGAAGCUCUUGAUCGAAGCCCCGGUAAACGGCGGCCGUAACUAUAACGGUCCUAAGGUAGCGAAAUUCCUUGUCGGGUAAGUUCCGACCUGCACGAAUGGCGUAACGAUGGCCACACUGUCUCCACCCGAGACUCAGUGAAAUUGAAAUUGCGGUUAAGAUGCCGUAUACCCGCGGCUAGACGGAAAGACCCCGUGAACCUUUACUACAGCUUCACAGUGGACUUUGACUUUACUUGUGUAGGAUAGCUGGGAGGCUUUGAAGCAGUGGCGCUAGCUAUUGUGGAGCCAACCUUGAAAUACCAGCCUGGUAACGUUGAGGUUCUAACUUAGGUCCGUAAUCCGGAUCGAGGACAUUGUGUGGUGGGUAGUUUGACUGGGGCGGUCUCCUCCCAAAGAGUAACGGAGGAGCACGAAGGUGCGCUAAUCAUGGUCGGAAAUCAUGAGGUUAGUGUAAAGGCACAAGCGCGCUUGACUGCGAGUCUGACAAGACGAGCAGGUACGAAAGUAGGUCUUAGUGAUCCGGUGGUUCUGUAUGGAAGGGCCAUCGCUCAACGGAUAAAAGGUACUCCGGGGAUAACAGGCUGAUACCGCCCAAGAGUUCACAUCGACGGCGGUGUUUGGCACCUCGAUGUCGGCUCAUCACAUCCUGGGGCUGAAGCCGGUCCCAAGGGUAUGGCUGUUCGCCAUUUAAAGUGGUACGCGAGCUGGGUUUAGAACGUCGUGAGACAGUUCGGUCCCUAUCUGCCGUGGGCGUUGGAGAAUUGAGGGAAGCUGCUCCUAGUACGAGAGGACCGGAGUGGACGAACCCCUGGUGUUCGGGUUGUGUCGCCAGACGCAUUGCCCGGUAGCUACGUUCGGACAGGAUAACCGCUGAAAGCAUCUAAGCGGGAAGCCCCUCCCAAGAUAAGUUCUCCCUGACCUCUUGAAGGUCCUGAAGGGCCGUGGAAGACUACCACGUUGAUAGGCUGGGUGUGGAAGCGUUGUGAGGCGUUGAGCUAACCAGUACUAAUUGCCCGUGAGGCUUGACCAUAUAAUCCA
Molecule: ribosomal RNA, 2921 nt
Filed under: Candidatus Seongchinamella marina
Lineage: Bacteria; Pseudomonadati; Pseudomonadota; Gammaproteobacteria; Cellvibrionales; Halieaceae
Description: 23S ribosomal RNA
Rfam family: Bacterial large subunit ribosomal RNA
Source: RNAcentral